Molecule: ribosomal RNA, 1432 nt
Filed under: uncultured organism
Description: 16S ribosomal RNA
Rfam family: Bacterial small subunit ribosomal RNA
Source: RNAcentral
GGAUGAACGCUAGCUACAGGCUUAACACAUGCAAGUCGAGGGGCAGCAUCAUCAAAGCUUGCUUUGAUGGAUGGCGACCGGCGCACGGGUGAGUAACACGUAUCCAACCUGCCGACAACACUGGGAUAGCCUUUCGGAAGAAAGAUUAAUACCGGAUGGCAUAGUUUUCCCGCAUGGGAUAAUUAUUAAAGAAUUUCGGUUGUCGAUGGGGAUGCGUUCCAUUAGGCAGUUGGCGGGGUAACGGCCCACCAAACCAACGAUGGAUAGGGGUUCUGAGAGGAAGGUCCCCCACAUUGGAACUGAGACACGGUCCAAACUCCUACGGGAGGCAGCAGUGAGGAAUAUUGGUCAAUGGACGAGAGUCUGAACCAGCCAAGUAGCGUGAAGGAUGACUGCCCUAUGGGUUGUAAACUUCUUUUAUACGGGAAUAAAGUGAGCCACGUGUGGCUUUUUGUAUGUACCGUAUGAAUAAGGAUCGGCUAACUCCGUGCCAGCAGCCGCGGUAAUACGGAGGAUCCGAGCGUUAUCCGGAUUUAUUGGGUUUAAAGGGAGCGUAGGCGGGUUGUUAAGUCAGUUGUGAAAGUUUGCGGCUCAACCGUAAAAUUGCAGUUGAUACUGGCGACCUUGAGUGCAACAGAGGUAGGCGGAAUUCGUGGUGUAGCGGUGAAAUGCUUAGAUAUCACGAAGAACUCCGAUUGCGAAGGCAGCUUACUGGAUUGUAACUGACGCUGAUGCUCGAAAGUGUGGGUAUCAAACAGGAUUAGAUACCCUGGUAGUCCACACAGUAAACGAUGAAUACUCGCUGUUGGCGAUAUACGGUCAGCGGCCAAGCGAAAGCAUUAAGUAUUCCACCUGGGGAGUACGCCGGCAACGGUGAAACUCAAAGGAAUUGACGGGGGCCCGCACAAGCGGAGGAACAUGUGGUUUAAUUCGAUGAUACGCGAGGAACCUUACCCGGGCUUAAAUUGCAACUGACGGAACCGGAAACGGUUCUUUCUUCGGACAGUUGUGAAGGUGCUGCAUGGUUGUCGUCAGCUCGUGCCGUGAGGUGUCGGCUUAAGUGCCAUAACGAGCGCAACCCUUACGGGUAGUUACCAUCAGGUUAUGCUGGGGACUCUACCCGGACUGCCGUUGUAAGAUGUGAGGAAGGUGGGGAUGACGUCAAAUCAGCACGGCCCUUACGUCCGGGGCUACACACGUGUUACAAUGGGGGGUACAGAAGGCAGCUACACGGCGACGUGGUGCUAAUCCCAAAAGCCUCUCUCAGUUCGGAUUGGAGUCUGCAACCCGACUCCAUGAAGCUGGAUUCGCUAGUAAUCGCGCAUCAGCCACGGCGCGGUGAAUACGUUCCCGGGCCUUGUACACACCGCCCGUCAAGCCAUGAAAGCCGGGGGUACCUGAAGUACGUAACCGCGAGGAGCGUCCUAGGGUA